This 496-nucleotide ribosomal RNA is filed under the name uncultured bacterium. RNAcentral describes it as "partial 16S ribosomal RNA". It matches the Rfam family "Bacterial small subunit ribosomal RNA", at positions 28 to 506 of the family's 1533-position model. The record is from RNAcentral.
GAUGAACGCUGGCGGCGUGCCUAAUACAUGCAAGUCGAGCGAACGGACGAGAAGCUUGCUUCUCUGAUGUUAGCGGCGGACGGGUGAGUAACACGUGGAUAACCUACCUAUAAGACUGGGAUAACUUCGGGAAACCGGAGCUAAUACCGGAUAAUAUUUUGAACCGCAUGGUUCAAAAGUGAAAGACGGUCUUGCUGUCACUUAUAGAUGGAUCCGCGCUGCAUUAGCUAGUUGGUAAGGUAACGGCUUACCAAGGCAACGAUGCAUAGCCGACCUGAGAGGGUGAUCGGCCACACUGGAACUGAGACACGGUCCAGACUCCUACGGGAGGCAGCAGUAGGGAAUCUUCCGCGAUGGGCGAAAGCCUGACGGAGCAACGCAGCGUGGGUGAUGAAGGUCUUCGGAUCGUAAAACUCUGUUAUUAGGGAAGAACAUAUGUGUAAGUAACUGUGCACAUCUUGACGGUACCUAAUCAGAAAGCCCCGGCUAACUACGU